UACGUAGGGUGCGAGCGUUGUCCGGAAUUACUGGGCGUAAAGAGCUCGUAGGUGGUUUGUCGCGUUGUCCGUGAAAACUCACAACUCAAUUGUGGGCGUGCGGGCGAUACGGGCAGACUGGAGUACUGCAGGGGAGACUGGAAUUCCUGGUGUAGCGGUGGAAUGCGCAGAUAUCAGGAGGAACACCGGUGGCGAAGGCGGGUCUCUGGGCCUGUCCUGACGCUGAGGCGCGAAAGCUAGGGGAGCGAACAGG
This 253-nucleotide ribosomal RNA is filed under the name uncultured bacterium. RNAcentral describes it as "partial 16S ribosomal RNA". It matches the Rfam family "Bacterial small subunit ribosomal RNA", at positions 524 to 776 of the family's 1533-position model. The record is from RNAcentral.